AAUUUUGGACAAUGGGGGCAACGCUGAUCCAGCCAUCCCGCGUGUGCGAUGAUGGCCUGCGGGUUGUAAAGCACUUUUGGCAGGGAAGAAAAGGCUCUGGUUAAUACCUGGAGAUGCUGACGGUACCUGCAGAAUAAGCACCGGCUAACUACGUCCAAGCAGCCGCGGUAAUACGUAGGGUGCAAGCGUUAAUCGGAAUUACUGGGCGUAAAGGGGGCGCAGGCGGUUUGGCAAGAAGGAUGUGGUAUCCCGGGGCUUAACCUCAGGACUGCAUUCUUAACUGCCAGGCUAGAGUAUGUCAGAGGGGGGUAGAAUUCCGCGUGUAGCAGUGAAAUGCGUAGAGAUGCGGAGGAAUACCGAUGGCGAAGGCAGCCCCCUGGGAUAAUACUGACGCUCAGGCACGAAAGCGUGGGGAGCAAACA
RNAcentral lists this ribosomal RNA (422 nucleotides) under uncultured bacterium. RNAcentral describes it as "partial 16S ribosomal RNA". It matches the Rfam family "Bacterial small subunit ribosomal RNA", at positions 360 to 774 of the family's 1533-position model. The record is from RNAcentral.